CAUGCAAGUCGAGGGGCAGCAUGGUCUUAGCUUGCUAAGGCCGAUGGCGACCGGCGCACGGGUGAGUAACACGUAUCCAACCUGCCGUCUACUCUUGGACAGCCUUCUGAAAGGAAGAUUAAUACAAGAUGGCAUCAUGAGUCCGCAUGUUCACAUGAUUAAAGGUAUUCCGGUAGACGAUGGGGAUGCGUUCCAUUAGAUAGUAGGCGGGGUAACGGCCCACCUAGUCUUCGAUGGAUAGGGGUUCUGAGAGGAAGGUCCCCCACAUUGGAACUGAGACACGGUCCAAACUCCUACGGGAGGCAGCAGUGAGGAAUAUUGGUCAAUGGGCGCAGGCCUGAACCAGCCAAGUAGCGUGAAGGAUGACUGCCCUAUGGGUUGUAAACUUCUUUUAUAAAGGAAUAAAGUCGGGUAUGUAUACCCGUUUGCAUGUACUUUAUGAAUAAGGAUCGGCUAACUCCGUGCCAGCAGCCGCGGUAAUACGGAGGAUCCGAGCGUUAUCCGGAUUUAUUGGGUUUAAAGGGAGCGUAGAUGGAUGUUUAAGUCAGUUGUGAAAGUUUGCGGCUCAACCGUAAAAUUGCAGUUGAUACUGGAUAUCUUGAGUGCAGUUGAGGCAGGCGGAAUUCGUGGUGUAGCGGUGAAAUGCUUAGAUAUCACGAAGAACUCCGAUUGCGAAGGCAGCCUGCUAAGCUGCAACUGACAUUGAGGCUCGAAAGUGUGGGUAUCAAACAGGAUUAGAUACCCUGGUAGUCCACACGGUAAACGAUGAAUACUCGCUGUUUGCGAUAUACGGCAAGCGGCCAAGCGAAAGCAUUAAGUAUUCCACCUGGGG
This 832-nucleotide ribosomal RNA is filed under the name uncultured bacterium. RNAcentral's name for it is "bacterial SSU rRNA". It matches the Rfam family "Bacterial small subunit ribosomal RNA", at positions 54 to 878 of the family's 1533-position model. The record is from RNAcentral.